UGAUAUGCUAACUGGUGAUGAGCAAGUA
RNAcentral lists this non-coding RNA (28 nucleotides) under Homo sapiens (human). The record is from RNAcentral. Lineage: Eukaryota; Metazoa; Chordata; Mammalia; Primates; Hominidae.